CUUUCCUUAGCAUACCAAAUCUUAUGUUCAGAGCACUUGAGUUUCAGGAGUUCUCAUUGAAUUCUCCACAAAAUAUUUCGUGAUGUGGCACUGAAAGAUCAGUCCAGACUUGCACAGAGAAUCACCAUUGCCUUGGAGACCCUUUAAGAUAACUUCUCCACACCCUUGAAGAGUGAAUGUAAGAGAUCUCUCGCUGCAGAAGGCAACAUUUUCAGUGGAGAUAAAGAGGACCCCUGCUAUAGGACCAGCUGUUGUUGACAAAUAGCAUUGGAAAGCAUUCAAUAGCUUCUCUCCUUCUCUAACACUGAAGAUCUGCUUGAAUAACUUCUCAACACCACCUUCUUGAAGAAUUCUGGCACCCAACCUCAACUUCCCCUUCACAGUUGCAGAUACCUUGGGCCCCAAUCUAACUGUAACAUCCAACAAUUUGGAACAAUAUUCAAAUACUGUUCCUUUUUCUAACCAAUGCCAAUUGGAAAUACUAGUUUA
Molecule: long non-coding RNA, 489 nt
Organism: Telopea speciosissima
Lineage: Eukaryota; Viridiplantae; Streptophyta; Magnoliopsida; Proteales; Proteaceae
Exons: 2
Source: RefSeq, a predicted model, not a curated record